CGCGGCCUAUCAGCUUGUUGGUGGGGUAACGGCUCACCGAGGCAUCGACGGGUAGCUGGUCUGAGAGGACGAUCAGCCACACUGGGACUGAGACACGGCCCAGACUCCUGCGGGAGGCAGCAGUGGGGAAUCUUGCGCAAUGGGCGAAAGCCUGACGCAGCAACGCCGCGUGGGGGAUGAAGGCUCUCGGGUUGUAAACCCCUUUCAUCAGGGACGAAAUUGACGGUACCUGAAGAAGAAGCCCCGGCCAACUACGUGCCAGCAGCCGCGGUGACACGUAGGGGGCGAGCGUUGUCCGG
Molecule: ribosomal RNA, 299 nt
Filed under: uncultured bacterium
Lineage: Bacteria
Description: partial 16S ribosomal RNA
Rfam family: Bacterial small subunit ribosomal RNA
Source: RNAcentral